RNAcentral lists this ribosomal RNA (495 nucleotides) under uncultured bacterium. Its description in RNAcentral is "partial 16S ribosomal RNA". It matches the Rfam family "Bacterial small subunit ribosomal RNA", at positions 28 to 507 of the family's 1533-position model. The record is from RNAcentral.
GAUGAACGCUGGCGGCGUGCCUAAUACAUGCAAGUCGAACGCUGAAGGAGGAGCUUGCUCUUCUGGAUGAGUUGCGAACGGGUGAGUAACGCGUAGGUAACCUGCCUGGUAGCGGGGGAUAACUAUUGGAAACGAUAGCUAAUACCGCAUGACAACAGUUAUUGCAUGAUAACUGUUUAAAAGGGGCAACUGCUCCACUACCAGAUGGACCUGCGUUGUAUUAGCUAGUUGGUGAGGUAACGGCUCACCAAGGCGACGAUACAUAGCCGACCUGAGAGGGUGAUCGGCCACACUGGGACGGAGACACGGCCCAGACUCCUACGGGAGGCAGCAGUAGGGAAUCUUCGGCAAUGGACGGAAGUCUGACCGAGCAACGCCGCGUGAGUGAAGAAGGUUUUCGGAUCGUAAGGCUCUGUUGUAAGAGAAGAACGAGUGUGAGAGUGGAAAGUUCACACUGUGACGGUAUCUUACCAGAAAGGGACGGCUAACUACGUG